This 2592-nucleotide long non-coding RNA is filed under the name Homo sapiens (human). Its description in RNAcentral is "non-protein coding MKLN1-AS:10". Lineage: Eukaryota; Metazoa; Chordata; Mammalia; Primates; Hominidae. The record is from RNAcentral.
CCGGUUCUCCUGUGCGCGCCCCGGAUCCGCCACACACCUCGCCCCUUCUCCCUGGGCUCGCUCUCCGGACCCUAACCCCUUCCCGAGCGAGGCCGAGCAACGCUCUCAGCAGCUGAACUAAGACUCCGGAGGCCGCACGUCCCCCUCAGCAGGCCCCGCCUGGGCCUCUCGGCUCGGCUGCCCUCCAUUGCACCCCUGGCCCAACCGUGCUGACGCGGAAGGGUGGGGCAGCACGAGCUCAAGGCCCGGCACUUACUCGGGAAGCCACUGCAGUUACCAAAGAGUAUGUCGCUUAUUGUCUAAGAGGUUGGACUCCUGAAAGCCUGGACAGUGUCAUCAUCUUCACCUGAAGAGUGGAAAAAUUCAAGCAAAGAGUUUCUCAGGAAAUGACCAAGUAAAACAUCUGGAGUAAGUCAGCAGGAUUCACAGUGACUCCCCCCAACCAGCUGGUGGUGUUUCUCUCUGAAAGCAGCGCUUGGUACCAGUGUGAACUCUCUUCCUUCAGAAGUCUCAUCAGGUGGACGUAAUACGAGGGUCUGGUCCCCCAUACCUUGAGGACUCCGCUGCCAUCUGACAAUUACAGACAAUCCAAUUGUCCUCAUCCUUGAGGACUCUGCUGCCAUCUGACAAUUAGAGACAGUCCAAAACAUGCCACACUUUGAUCCUAAACACAUUCCUGGCUUUGGUCACUUUUGAAAAGUUCCUGAGUUAUGAGAAAUCAAUAAUAAGAGUGUUCAAAACCUGAACACUCUUUUUAGAAAUACCUGCUGGAACUACAUAUAUGAUUUAUGGGGUACUGUCUUGUAGUAUCUGGGAAAGUAGACCCAUCUAACCUGGAAUGAUCAUAGGCAACAAUGACCAAAAAUGGGGAUCUUUUGAUAUACCUAAAGUAAUUUAUUUGUGCACACCAUUGGAAAGAGCUGGUUUUAGAACCAGACAUGUAAAUAAGAGACUGACUUCCACUGGCACCUAAAAACUUCUAAAAGAAAUCCUGAAAGAAAAAGUCACCUUCAUUCAAGAGGAAAUUCAUAGAAUAGGACCCUGACAAGUACUCUUGAAUACAGGUUUCUGAUAACUUUGGAGAUCAUAUCAUUGGACUAAGUAACAACUUUCAGGAUAUAAUUGGAGACACUUGUUAUUUUACUAAGGAUUUGACUGGAAUGACAUAUUUUCAGAUAUGACCAGACUGCUUUGAAGAAUGGAGGUUGACUCUAUAGAGGCAAUUAGAAAGCCUCUUGGAAAGACUGGCCUGGUCCCUUGUCUACGUAGUUCCCUUUCAAGAUUUCUGUCCUGUGUUAAGUAAAGAAUGUCACUUUCUGACAGGCCUGGGAACCUCAAAAUAUUUCCGCUGUGUAUCUCUCAUUGUUUUAUUUCUUCUGAGAAAACUAAAUUCAUGGUACACUGAAGAGGUGAUUCCACAAGUGAUGGCAGCUAUAAAUCAAUGACUGGUAGGACUACCUGGGCAUGAGCCUUUCUGGCAAUGAGGGAUACCUUGACACUCAGAUUUUGAUCAUCAGUGCUUUCAAAAGGAAAGAUUUUUGAUCAAAAGGAAGAAAUGAGAAAAAGAACUUUUAUCUGAAGAAUGCAAGUCCUUUCCAAUUAUCAGAUCCAGAGAGGUAUUAAAAUGAGACGGCAAUCCUGUCCUACACACACCCCCUUUUGAGGCAUGUACUCAUCUUUUUAUACUGCUUACUAUUGCCACAAGUAGCUGAAAAUUAGCCUACUGGUGCUGCACCAGACAUUAUAACCCAUAUCCUAUAGCUUAAUAAUGGAUAGCCAAUCAACAGCUUAUGUUAUGUUAAUGUAAAUUAUUGGUAAAUAACUCAGGAACUGCCUCUUCUUUCCUUUUAAAAACCCACUUGUGGGCCGGGCGUGGUGGCUCACGCCUGUAAUCCCAGCAUUUUGGGAGGCCAAGGUGGGCGGAUCACAAGGUGAGGAGAUCAAGACCAUCCUGGAUAACACAGUGAAACCCUGUCUCUACUAAAAAUACAAAAAAUUAGCCGGGCGUGGUGGCGGGCACCUGUAGUCCCAGCUACUCGGGAGGCUGAGGCAGGAGAAAGGCGUGAACCCAGGAAGCAGAGCUUGCAGUGAGCUGACAUGGCACCACUGCACUCCAGCCCGGGCAACAGUGCGAGGCCCUGUCUCAAAAAAAAAAAAAAAAAAAAAAUCCACUUGUGGCUGAGUGUGGUGGUUCACACCUGUAAUCCCAGCACUUUGGGAGGCUGAGGUGGGUGGAUCACCUGAUGUCAGGAGUUCGAGACCAGCUUAACCAAUGUGGCGAAACCCUGUCUCUACUAAAAAUACAACAAUUAGCCAGCUGUGAUGGUGGGUGCCUGUAAUCCCAGCUACUUGGGAGUCUGAGGCAGACUCAAGACUUCAAGAAUGUCUUGAACCCAGGAGGCGGAGGUUGCAGUGAGCCAAGAUCACACCAUUGCACUCCAGCAUGGGUGACAAGAGUGAAACUGCCUCCAAAAAAAAAAAUCCACUUGUAACUGCUGCUACUCAGAAUGUAUAUUCACGGCAACUAGAAUCUAUGUUACUAAGUUGCAAUCCUCAAGCUUGUCCCAAAUAAACUCUCUACUUAUAUUAAUU